RNAcentral lists this ribosomal RNA (433 nucleotides) under uncultured bacterium. RNAcentral's name for it is "partial 16S ribosomal RNA". It matches the Rfam family "Bacterial small subunit ribosomal RNA", at positions 29 to 507 of the family's 1533-position model. The record is from RNAcentral.
AACGAACGCUGGCGGCAUGCCUAACACAUGCAAGUCGAACGAGACCUUCGGGUCUAGUGGCGCACGGGUGCGUAACGCGUGGGAACCUGCCCUUAGGUUCGGAAUAACUCCCCGAAAGGGGUGCUAAUACCGGAUAAUGUCUUCGGACCAAAGAUUUAUCGUCUUUGGAUGGGCCCGCGUUGGAUUAGCUAGUUGGUAGGGUAAAAGCCUACCAAGGCGACGAUCCAUAGCUGGUCUGAGAGGAUGAUCAGCCACACUGGGACUGAGACACGGCCCAGGCUCCUACGGGAGGCAGCAGUGGGGAAUAUUGGACAAUGGGCGAAAGCCUGAUCCAGCAAUGCCGCGUGAGUGAUGAAGGCCUUAGGGUUGUAAAGCUCUUUUACCCGGGAUGAUAAUGACAGUACCGGGAGAAUAAGCUCCGGCUAACUCCGUG